UACGAAGGGGGCUAGCGUUGUUCGGAAUCACUGGGCGUAAAGCGCACGCAGGCGGAUCGUUAAGUCAGGGGUGAAAUCCUGGAGCUCAACUCCAGAACUGCCUUUGAUACUGAGAAGCUUGAGUCCGGGAGAGGUGAGUGGAACUGCGAGUGUAGAGGUGAAAUUCGUAGAUAUUCGCAAGAACACCAGUGGCGAAGGCGGCUCACUGGCCCGGUACUGACGCUGAGGUGCGAAAGCGUGGGGAGCAAACAGG
RNAcentral lists this ribosomal RNA (253 nucleotides) under uncultured bacterium. Its description in RNAcentral is "partial 16S ribosomal RNA". It matches the Rfam family "Bacterial small subunit ribosomal RNA", at positions 524 to 776 of the family's 1533-position model. The record is from RNAcentral.